GUCAGAAUGGCCGAGCGGUCUAAGGCGCCAGACUCAGGUUGUGCACCUUCUCAAAACAGAGAGAUUUCUGGUCUCCGAAUGGAGGCGUGGGUUCAAAUCCCACUUCUGACA
Molecule: transfer RNA, 111 nt
Filed under: Astyanax mexicanus (Mexican tetra)
Lineage: Eukaryota; Metazoa; Chordata; Actinopteri; Characiformes; Acestrorhamphidae
Rfam family: tRNA
About the family: Transfer RNA (tRNA) molecules are approximately 80 nucleotides in length. Their secondary structure includes four short double-helical elements and three loops (D, anti-codon, and T loops). Further hydrogen bonds mediate the characteristic L-shaped molecular structure. tRNAs have two regions of fundamental functional importance: the anti-codon, which is responsible for specific mRNA codon recognition, and the 3' end, to which the tRNAs corresponding amino acid is attached (by aminoacyl-tRNA synthetases). tRNAs cope with the degeneracy of the genetic code in two manners: having more than one tRNA (with a specific anti-codon) for a particular amino acid; and 'wobble' base-pairing, i.e. permitting non-standard base-pairing at the 3rd anti-codon position.
Source: Rfam by way of RNAcentral